CUACGGGACGCACCAGGCGAGAAAACUUUGCAAUGUGCGAAAGCACGACAAGGUUAAUCCGAGUGGUUUCUGCUAAAGGAACCUUUUGUCGGUCCUAGAAACACCGAUGAAUAAGGGGUGGGCAAGUUCUGGUGUCAGCCGCCGCGGUAAAACCAGCACCUCGAGUGGUCAGGAGAUUAUUGGGCCUAAAGCAUCCGUAGCCGGCUCUGUAAGUUAUCGGUUAAAUCUGUACGCUUAACGUACAGGCUGCCGGGAAUACUGCAUAGCUAGGGAGUGGGAGAGGUAGACGGUACUCGGUAGGAAGGGGUAAAAUCCUUUGAUCUAUUGAUGACCACCUGUGGCGAAGGCGGUCUACCAGAACACGUCCGACGGUGAGGGAUGAAAGCUGGGGGAGCAAACCGGAUUAGAUACCCCUGUAGUC
Molecule: ribosomal RNA, 421 nt
Filed under: uncultured archaeon
Lineage: Archaea
Description: partial 16S ribosomal RNA
Rfam family: Archaeal small subunit ribosomal RNA
Source: RNAcentral